GAUGAACGCUGGCGGCGUGCCUAAUACAUGCAAGUCGAGCGAACAGAUGAGGAGCUUGCUCCUCUGACGUUAGCGGCGGACGGGUGAGUAACACGUGGAUAACCUACCUAUAAGACUGGGAUAACUUCGGGAAACCGGAGCUAAUACCGGAUAAUAUAUUGAACCGCAUGGUUCAAUAGUGAAAGACGGUUUUGCUGUCACUUAUAGAUGGAUCCGCGCCGCAUUAGCUAGUUGGUAAGGUAACGGCUUACCAAGGCAACGAUGCGUAGCCGACCUGAGGGGGUGAUCGCCCACACUGGAACUGGGACCCGGCCCAGCCCCCUAGGGGGGGCAGCAGGGGGGAAUCUUCCGCAAGGGGCGAAAGCCUGACGGAGCAACGCCGCGUGGGUGAUGAAGGUCUUCGGAUCGUAAAACUCUGUUAUUAGGGAAGAAAAAAUUGGUAAGUAACUAUGCACGUUUUGACGGUACCUAAUCAAAACGCCCCGGCAAACUACGC
RNAcentral lists this ribosomal RNA (496 nucleotides) under uncultured bacterium. RNAcentral's name for it is "partial 16S ribosomal RNA". It matches the Rfam family "Bacterial small subunit ribosomal RNA", at positions 28 to 506 of the family's 1533-position model. The record is from RNAcentral.